CCUACGGGAGGCAGCAGUGGGGAAUAUUGCACAAUGGGCGCAAGCCUGAUGCAGCAACGCCGCGUGACGGAUGACGGCCUUCGGGUUGUAAACCUCUUUUAGUAGGGAAGAAGCGAAAGUGACGGUACCUGCAGAAAAAGCACCGGCUAACUACGUGCCAGCAGCCGCGGUAAU
This 174-nucleotide ribosomal RNA is filed under the name uncultured Microbacterium sp. RNAcentral describes it as "partial 16S ribosomal RNA". It matches the Rfam family "Bacterial small subunit ribosomal RNA", at positions 338 to 524 of the family's 1533-position model. Lineage: Bacteria; Bacillati; Actinomycetota; Actinomycetes; Micrococcales; Microbacteriaceae. The record is from RNAcentral.